AUACCUUUCUGGCCUUUUGGCUAAGAUCAAGUGUAGUAUCUGUUCUUAUUAGUGUAAUAUCUGAUAACUUGAGCCAUUUUUUAACGGGAAGGACCCAUGGUAAUGGUAGCUUGCCUACUCAGGAUUCCCUUUGUGUCACACCCUUGCUUUGCACUUCCGUGAGGGUUUGGCACACCCACC
RNAcentral lists this small nuclear RNA (180 nucleotides) under Corchorus capsularis. RNAcentral's name for it is "snRNA U2". It matches the Rfam family "U2 spliceosomal RNA". Rfam says of the family: U2 is a small nuclear RNA (snRNA) component of the spliceosome (involved in pre-mRNA splicing). Complementary binding between U2 snRNA (in an area lying towards the 5' end but 3' to hairpin I) and the branchpoint sequence (BPS) of the intron results the bulging out of an unpaired adenosine, on the BPS, which initiates a nucleophilic attack at the intronic 5' splice site, thus starting the first of two transesterification reactions that mediate splicing. Lineage: Eukaryota; Viridiplantae; Streptophyta; Magnoliopsida; Malvales; Malvaceae. The record is from Rfam by way of RNAcentral.